AUUGAACGCUGGCGGCAUGCUUUACACAUGCAAGUCGAACGGUAACAGGCCGCAAGGUGCUGACGAGUGGCGAACGGGUGAGUAAUGCAUCGGAACGUGCCCAGUCGUGGGGGAUAACUACUCGAAGGAGUAGCUAAUACCGCAUACGAUCUAUGGAUGAAAGCGGGGGACCGUAAGGCCUCGCGCGAUUGGAGCGGCCGAUGUCAGAUUAGGUAGUUGGUGGGGUAAAGGCUCACCAAGCCAACGAUCUGUAGCUGGUCUGAGAGGACGACCAGCCACAUGGGAACUGGGAAACGGCCCGAAUCCCUACGGGGGGCAGAAGUGGGGAAUUUUGACCAAGGGGCGAAAGCCGGUCCCAGAAAUGCCGCGUGAAGAAGAAGGCCUUCGGGUUGUAAACUGCUUUUGUACGGAACGAAACGGCUCUGGUUAAUACCCGGGGCUAAUGACGGUACCGUAAGAAUAAGCACCGGCUAACUACGUG
RNAcentral lists this ribosomal RNA (481 nucleotides) under uncultured bacterium. Its description in RNAcentral is "partial 16S ribosomal RNA". It matches the Rfam family "Bacterial small subunit ribosomal RNA", at positions 30 to 507 of the family's 1533-position model. The record is from RNAcentral.